CCCCUUGAGAGUGGCGAACGGGUGAGUAAUGUAUCGGAACGUGCCCAGUCGUGGGGGAUAACGUAGUGAAAAUUACGCUAAUACCGCAUACGAUCUAUGGAUGAAAGCGGGGGAUCGCAAGACCUCGCGCGAUUGGAGCGGCCGAUAUCAGAUUAGGUAGUUGGUAGGGUAAAGGCCUACCAAGCCAACGAUCUGUAGCUGGUCUGAGAGGACGACCAGCCACACUGGAACUGAGACACGGUCCAGACUCCUACGGGAGGCAGCAGUGGGGAAUUUUGGACAAUGGGCGAAAGCCUGAUCCAGCCAUUCCGCGUGCAGGAUGAAGGCCCUCGGGUUGUAAACUGCUUUUGUACAGAACGAAAAGGUUUCUAUUAAUACUAGGAGCUCAUGACGGUACUGUAAGAAUAAGCACCGGCUAACUACGUGCCAGCAGCCGCGGUAAUACGUAGGGUGCAAGCGUUAAUCGGAAUUACUGGGCGUAAAGCGUGCGCAGGCGGUUAUAUAAGUCAG
Molecule: ribosomal RNA, 510 nt
Filed under: uncultured beta proteobacterium
Lineage: Bacteria; Pseudomonadati; Pseudomonadota; Betaproteobacteria
Description: bacterial SSU rRNA
Rfam family: Bacterial small subunit ribosomal RNA
Source: RNAcentral